Molecule: ribosomal RNA, 279 nt
Filed under: uncultured bacterium
Lineage: Bacteria
Description: partial 16S ribosomal RNA
Rfam family: Bacterial small subunit ribosomal RNA
Source: RNAcentral
UGCCAGCCGCCGCGGUAAUACGGGGAGUGCAAGCGUUGUUCGGAAUUAUUGGGCGUAAAGCGCGUGUAGGCGGCUUUGUAAGUCUGGAGUGAAAGCCCUCGGCCCAACCGAGGAAGUGCUUCGGAUACUGCAAGGCUUGAAUCCUGGAGAGGCAGGUGGAAUUCCCAGUGUAGAGGUGAAAUUCGUAGAUAUCAGGAGGAACACCGAUGGCGAAGGCAUCUCUCUGGGUCGAUAUUGACGCUGAGGCGCGAAGGCGUGGGUAGCGAACGGGAUUAGAUA